RNAcentral lists this ribosomal RNA (258 nucleotides) under uncultured bacterium. RNAcentral's name for it is "partial 16S ribosomal RNA". It matches the Rfam family "Bacterial small subunit ribosomal RNA", at positions 793 to 1055 of the family's 1533-position model. The record is from RNAcentral.
GUCCGCACCGUAAACGAUGAUUACUCGCUGCUAGAGGGCAACUUUUAGUGGCUUAGCGAAAGCGAUAAGUAAUCCACCUGGGGAGUACGCCGGCAACGGUGAAACUCAAAGGAAUUGACGGGGGCCCGCACAAGCGGAGGAGCAUGUGGUUUAAUUCGAUGAUACGCGAGGAACCUUACCAGGGCUUGAAAGUUAGGGAAUAACUCUGAAAGGAGUUAGUCAGCAAUGACCCGAAACUAGGUGCUGCAUGGCUGUCGU